Molecule: unclassified non-coding RNA, 296 nt
Filed under: Ilyonectria sp.
Lineage: Eukaryota; Fungi; Ascomycota; Sordariomycetes; Hypocreales; Nectriaceae
Description: partial contains 5.8S ribosomal RNA, internal transcribed spacer 2, and large subunit ribosomal RNA
Rfam family: 5.8S ribosomal RNA (bases 1-71)
Source: RNAcentral
GUGAAUCAUCGAAUCUUUGAACGCACAUUGCGCCCGCCAGUAUUCUGGCGGGCAUGCCUGUCCGAGCGUCAUUUCAACCCUCAAGCCCCCGGGCUUGGUGUUGGAGAUCGGCGUGCCCCCCGGGGCGCGCCGGCUCCCAAAUAUAGUGGCGGUCUCGCUGUAGCUUCCUCUGCGUAGUAGCACACCUCGCACUGGAAAACAGCGUGGCCACGCCGUUAAACCCCCCACUUCUGAAAGGUUGACCUCGGAUCAGGUAGGAAUACCCGCUGAACUUAAGCAUAUCAAUAAGCGGAGGA